RNAcentral lists this ribosomal RNA (1207 nucleotides) under Aconurella prolixa. RNAcentral describes it as "16S ribosomal RNA". The stretch from base 784 to 1145 matches the Rfam family "Archaeal large subunit ribosomal RNA", at positions 2150 to 2721 of the family's 2987-position model. Lineage: Eukaryota; Metazoa; Arthropoda; Insecta; Hemiptera; Cicadellidae. The record is from RNAcentral.
AUUAAGUUAAUUUUAUGGAUUUUUCAAUUUAAUAGAAAUUAUUUAUUCUUUUUUUAGUAUGUUUAAAAAUAAUUUUUAUAAUUGUUACUGAUAAGGUAAGUUAUACAAUAUUUAUAUAUAAUUUUAUUAGUACCUUUGGUAUCAGGGUAGAUUAAUUACUUUAAAUAUUAUUUUAUAUUCCCGAAUUAAAAAGGUCAAAAUCUUUAAUUAAAUUUAAUUGUUGAAAAAAUUUUAAUAAUAAAGUUUUAGUAGCGAUAUGUUAAUCGAUUUUUGUUUAUCUGGUUACUAAGGAAUUUAAUUUAAUUAAUCAUUAUUUUAAAAAUUUAAUUUAUUUAGAUUAUAAUGAAAAGUUAUUAUGGAUAAUCUUAAUAAUUUACACUAAAAUUUAAUUUGUAUGAAGUUUAUUAACUUUAAAAUUUUGUAUUUAGUUUAUAACAAGAUUACUUCUCUAAUUUUUAUUUUUUAGAAUUUAGUUUAAUACUUAGUUUUUUAAUAAAAUUUGGUUAUUAUUUUGAUAAUGAUUUAAUUAGUAUAAUUUAAAGAUUAAAUAUUAUGAACUUGACAAUUUUUGUAUCCAACUGUUUAACAAAAACAUUUCUUUUAGUUUUUAUUAAAGGUACUUUCUGCCCUAUGGUUUUUCUAAAUGGCUGCAGUAUUUUGACUGUGCAAAGGUAGCAUAGUAAUUAGUUUCUUAAUUGGGAACUUGUAUGAAUGGAUAAAUGAGACAUAAUUUUUAUUUAUUUAAAUAUUAAAAUUUUAAUUUUAAGUAAAAAUGCUUAACAAUUUUCCUGGGACGAUAAGACCCUAUAGAACUUUAUAUAUAAAUAUUAAAUUGUUUUUAAUUUUUGUCUAUAAUUUUUUAUUAAUAUUUUUUGCUGGGGUGGUGAAUAAAUUUUAACUUUAUUUAUUUUUUUCAUUGUUAAGUGUUUUUAUUGAUCAUUAUGGAUUAUAAGAAUAAGUUACCUUAGGGAUAACAGCGUAAUUUUAGUGGGGAGUUCACAUCUAUAUUAAUUUUGCGACCUCGAUGUUGAAUUAAGAAAAAACUAAGAAGCAGAAUUCUUAGAUUUGAGUCUGUUCGACUUUUAAUUUCUUACAUGAUUUGAGUUCAAACCGGCGUGAGCCAGGUUGGUUUCUAUCUUGGAAAAUAAUUAAGUUAUAUAGUACGAAAGGACCUUUAACUUAUACUUGGGUAUUUUAUACUUAAAAA